GCAUGGCUCAAUGGCAGAGUGCUAGUCUAGCAAUUUUAAGGCUCUGGGUUCAGUUCCCAGUGC
RNAcentral lists this transfer RNA (63 nucleotides) under Neotoma lepida (desert woodrat). It matches the Rfam family "tRNA", at positions 5 to 66 of the family's 71-position model. Rfam says of the family: Transfer RNA (tRNA) molecules are approximately 80 nucleotides in length. Their secondary structure includes four short double-helical elements and three loops (D, anti-codon, and T loops). Further hydrogen bonds mediate the characteristic L-shaped molecular structure. tRNAs have two regions of fundamental functional importance: the anti-codon, which is responsible for specific mRNA codon recognition, and the 3' end, to which the tRNAs corresponding amino acid is attached (by aminoacyl-tRNA synthetases). tRNAs cope with the degeneracy of the genetic code in two manners: having more than one tRNA (with a specific anti-codon) for a particular amino acid; and 'wobble' base-pairing, i.e. permitting non-standard base-pairing at the 3rd anti-codon position. Lineage: Eukaryota; Metazoa; Chordata; Mammalia; Rodentia; Cricetidae. The record is from Rfam by way of RNAcentral.